UACGUAGGGGGCUAGCGUUAUCCGGAAUUACUGGGCGUAAAGGGUGCGUAGGUGGUUUCUUAAGUCAGAGGUGAAGGGCUACGGCUCAACCGUAGUAAGCCUUUGAAACUGGGGAACUUGAGUGCAGGAGAGGAGAGUGGAAUUCCUAGUGUAGCGGUGAAAUGCGUAGAUAUUAGGAGGAACACCAGUUGCGAAGGCGGCUCUCUGGACUGUAACUAACACUGAGGCACGAAAGCGUGGGGAGCAAACAGG
RNAcentral lists this ribosomal RNA (252 nucleotides) under uncultured bacterium. RNAcentral describes it as "partial 16S ribosomal RNA". It matches the Rfam family "Bacterial small subunit ribosomal RNA", at positions 524 to 776 of the family's 1533-position model. The record is from RNAcentral.